RNAcentral lists this unclassified non-coding RNA (100 nucleotides) under Psydrax obovatus. Its description in RNAcentral is "Psydrax obovata partial external transcribed spacer". Lineage: Eukaryota; Viridiplantae; Streptophyta; Magnoliopsida; Gentianales; Rubiaceae. The record is from RNAcentral.
CGUUAAUCGCUCUUCCUAAAACGACUGCCGCCGUCGCCUCGAGACGUUGUGACCUUCGGGCGCGGCGUUCUCGUGCGGCGUCGGCGUCCGCGAGGAAUGC